UUCGCAAUGCCCGAAAGGGUGACGAAGCGACGCCGCGUGCGGGAAGAAGGCCUUCGGGUUGUAAACCGCUGUCGGGAGUUAGGAAAUGCAAGGAUGUUAAUAGCAUUCUUGCUUGACUAAGGCUCCGGAGGAAGCCACGGCUAACUCUGUGCCAGCAGCCGCGGUAAUACAGAGGCGGCAAGCGUUGUUCGGAAUUAUUGGGCGUAAAGAGCACGUAGGCGGCUGUGUAAGUCGGUUGUGAAAGCCUUCCGCUUAACGGAAGAACGGCAUCCGAUACUGCAUAGCUUGAGUGCGGGAGGGGAGAGUGGAACUUCUGGUGGAGCGGUGAAAUGCGUAGAUAUCAGAAGGAACGCCGGCGGCGAAGGCGACUCUCUGGUCCGUAACUGGCGCUGAGUGUGCGAAAGCUAGGGGAGCAAACGGGAUUAGAUACCCCGGUAGUCCUAGCCGUAAACGAUGGGCACUAAGUAGAGGGGUUUUA
Molecule: ribosomal RNA, 478 nt
Filed under: uncultured anaerobic ammonium-oxidizing bacterium
Lineage: Bacteria
Description: bacterial SSU rRNA
Rfam family: Bacterial small subunit ribosomal RNA
Source: RNAcentral